GUUUUGGUGAUCAUGAUGUGUUUGUAGAUCUUACUUUACUGGACAUUCUUCUUGCUACAAUUAUCUCUAUCUAUAAUGAACUUGGCCCAGUGGAAAAUAUAUACUAAAGAUUUACAAAAAUUUACAAAAAUUUAUGAAAAUUGUUAAAAAAUGACUAUAAAGGGCAAUAACUCCUUAAGGGGUAAACUGACGAUUUUGGUCAUGUUGACUUAUUUGUAG
Molecule: long non-coding RNA, 219 nt
Filed under: Mytilus galloprovincialis (Mediterranean mussel)
Lineage: Eukaryota; Metazoa; Mollusca; Bivalvia; Mytilida; Mytilidae
Source: RNAcentral